Molecule: long non-coding RNA, 221 nt
Filed under: Nicotiana benthamiana
Lineage: Eukaryota; Viridiplantae; Streptophyta; Magnoliopsida; Solanales; Solanaceae
Description: long non-coding RNA (NBEN_LNC023511)
Source: RNAcentral
GAGGCCCCACAGAUAGGAUUCAGAUUUCUGAACGGGAAAGCAUUUUUUGUCAGCCUAUACGCCGACUCUGAAUCAAAUAUUUACUCACUGCCAACAAAAACAUACUCUAUUUACUAGUUUAAAUCAAUUCACUAAGCUAGUUAAAAGACUUAUUACUAACGCAAUUCCACCAGUGUGUAAUACAUCCAACAUUCUCAAUAUUAAACGCUUUUGGCAAGCCA